AGUGAACGCUGGCGGUAGGCCUAACACAUGCAAGUCGAACGGCAGCACAGUAAGAGCUUGCUCUUACGGGUGGCGAGUGGCGGACGGGUGAGGAAUACAUCGUAAUCUACUUUUUCGUGGGGGAUAACGUAGGUAAACUUACGCUAAUACCGCAUACGACCUACGGGUGAAAGCAUGGGAUCUUCGGACCUUGCGCGAUUGAAUGAGCCGAUGUCGGAUUAGCUAGUUGGCGGGGUAAAGGCCCACCCAGGCGACGAUCCGUAGCUGGUCUGAGAGGAUGAUCAGCCACACUGGAACUGAGACACGGUCCAGACUCCUACGGGAGGCAGCAGUGGGGAAUAUUGGACAAUGGGCGCAAGCCUGAUCCAGCCAUACCGCGUGGGUGAAGAAGGCCUUCGGGUUGUAAAGCCCUUUUGUUGGGAAAGAAAAGCAGCAGGUUAAUACCACGCUGUUCUGACGGUACCCAAAGAAUAAGCACCGGCUAACUUCGUG
This 492-nucleotide ribosomal RNA is filed under the name uncultured bacterium. Its description in RNAcentral is "partial 16S ribosomal RNA". It matches the Rfam family "Bacterial small subunit ribosomal RNA", at positions 29 to 507 of the family's 1533-position model. The record is from RNAcentral.